This 906-nucleotide ribosomal RNA is filed under the name uncultured crenarchaeote. RNAcentral describes it as "bacterial SSU rRNA". It matches the Rfam family "Archaeal small subunit ribosomal RNA", at positions 1 to 886 of the family's 1478-position model. Lineage: Archaea; Thermoproteati; Thermoproteota. The record is from RNAcentral.
UUCCGGUUGAUCCUGCCGGACCUUACUGCUAUCGGGGUGGGACUAAGACAUGCGAGUCGAGCGUCUCUAGCUAUGUUGAGACGCGGCAGACGGCUCAGUAACACGUGGCUAACCUACCUUCAGGACGAGGAUAAACCCGGGAAACUGGGGCUAAUACUCGAUAGGUGAGAAUGUCUGGAAUGACUUCUCAUCCAAAGGGCCUUGGAAACAUGCUUUCAAUGUCGCCUGGAGAUGGGGCCGCGUCCGAUCAGGUUGUUGGUGAGGUAACGGCUCACCAAGCCUAUAACCGGUACGGGCCGUGAGAGCGGUAGCCCGGAGAUGGGUACUGAGACAAGGACCCAGGCCCCACGGGGCGCAGCAGUCGCGAAAACUCCGCAAUGCACGAAAGUGUGACGGGGCUACCCCGAGUGCCAUCCGCUGAGGGUGGCUUUUCUUUGGUAUAACUAGCCAUGGGAAUAAGGAGAGGGCAAGACUGGUGUCAGCCGCCGCGGUAAUACCAGCUCUCCGAGUGGUAGGGAUGAUUAUUGGGCUUAAAGCGUCCGUAGCCGGCUUAGCAAGUCUCCUGUUAAAUUCAGCGACCUAAUCGUUGACCCGCGGGAGAUACUACUAGGCUAGGAGGCGGGAGAGGUCGACGGUACUUCUGGGGUAGGGGUGAAAUCCUAUAAUCCCGGGAGGACCACCAGUGGCGAAGGCUGUCGACUAGAACGCGCUCGACGGUGAGGGACGAAAGCUGGGGGAGCGAACCGGAUUAGAUACCCGGGUAGUCCCGGCCGUAAACGAUGCGAGCUAGGUGUUGGGAUGGCUACGUGCCAUCUCAGUGCCGCAGGGAAGCCAUUAAGCUCGCCGCCUGGGGAGUACGGCCGCAAGGCUGAAACUUAAAGGAAUUGGCGGGGGAGCACCACAAGG